GACUCUGUGGUGAAAUUCAUAUUGAGUUGCAAGCUCAUUGAUGUACAUAAAAAAUGUGCCGGAGUCU
RNAcentral lists this transfer RNA (67 nucleotides) under Mesitornis unicolor (brown roatelo). RNAcentral describes it as "tRNA-Cys". Lineage: Eukaryota; Metazoa; Chordata; Aves; Mesitornithiformes; Mesitornithidae. The record is from RNAcentral.